GAAUAUUGGACAAUGGGCGCAAGCCUGAUCCAGCCACGCCGCGUGAGUGAUGAAGGCCUUCGGGUCGUAAAGCUCUGUGGGGAGGGACGAACCGCUGCACGUUCAUAGCGUGCAGCAUGACGGUACCUCCUUAGCAAGCACCGGCUAACUUCGUGCCAGCAGCCGCGGUAAUACGAAGGGUGCAAACGUUGCUCGGAAUUAUUGGGCGUAAAGCGCACGUAGGCGGCUUUGCAAGUCGGAUGUGAAAUCCCUCGGCUUAACCAAGGAAGUGCAUCCGAAACUGCAGAGCUUGAGUACUUAAGAGGAUCGCGGAAUUCCCGGUGUAGAGGUGAAAUUCGUAGAUAUCGGGAGGAACACCAGUGGCGAAGGCGGCGAUCUGGGAAGAUACUGACGCUGAGGUGCGAAAGCGUGGGGAGCAAACAG
RNAcentral lists this ribosomal RNA (423 nucleotides) under uncultured bacterium. RNAcentral's name for it is "bacterial SSU rRNA". It matches the Rfam family "Bacterial small subunit ribosomal RNA", at positions 359 to 775 of the family's 1533-position model. The record is from RNAcentral.